This 71-nucleotide transfer RNA is filed under the name Parcubacteria group bacterium. RNAcentral's name for it is "tRNA-Trp". It matches the Rfam family "tRNA". From Rfam's summary of the family: Transfer RNA (tRNA) molecules are approximately 80 nucleotides in length. Their secondary structure includes four short double-helical elements and three loops (D, anti-codon, and T loops). The record is from RNAcentral.
GGGUUCAUAGUUCAAUGGUAGAAUAAUCGUCUCCAAAACGAUUGAUCGAGGUUCGAGUCCUCGUGAACCCG